Molecule: ribosomal RNA, 440 nt
Filed under: uncultured bacterium
Lineage: Bacteria
Description: partial 16S ribosomal RNA
Rfam family: Bacterial small subunit ribosomal RNA
Source: RNAcentral
CCUACGGGUGGUAGCAGUGGGGAAUAUUGCACAAUGGGGGAAACCCUGAUGCAGCGACGCCGCGUGAGUGAAGAAGUAUUUCGGUAUGUAAAGCUCUAUCAGCAGGGAAGAAAAUGACGGUACCUGACCAAGAAGCCCCGGCCAACUACGUGCCAGCAGCCGCGGGAAGACGUAGGGGGCAAGCGUUAUCCGGAUUUACUGGGUGUAAAGGGGGCGUCGACGGCAGAGCAAGUCUGCAGGCAAACCCCGCGGCCCAACUGCGGGACUGCGUUGGAAACUGCCCGGCUAGAGUGCUGGAGAGGUAAGCGGAAUUCCUAGUGUAGCGGUGAAAUGCGUCGAUAUUAGGAGGAACACCAGUGGCGAGGGCGGCUUACUGGACAGUAACUGACGUUGAGGCUCGAAAGCGUGGGGAGCAAACAGGAUUAGAUACCCCGGUAGUC